AUGGCCUGUGCUCCAUCUACGGUGAAGGUGGCCGCCAUCUCCCUGCUGGUGAUCCUGUGCGCCGGAACACAGCUCACGGCCGUGCAUGGCCGUGGCCCAGCCCUCGACGUUGCGGAUGGCGGUGAGGAAGACGUCGGCACGGCCCUGCUGCGGCUCGUGAAGCCCACGUCGGCGGCGCUGGACGAGCUGGCCCAGAAGCUGCGUCAGGGCUGGCUUCAGUGCAGUGAAUCGUGUCAGACUUGUAUAUUCGUUUGCGCAUGCCAGAACUGUGAGUGUGACGGCCCGCCAUCGGAGGAGAACAAUAAGUGUGAGCGGGAUUGCAUCCAGAGAAGGGGCUGCGAAUCAUUGUGA
RNAcentral lists this ribosomal RNA (351 nucleotides) under Triticum aestivum (bread wheat). RNAcentral describes it as "partial small subunit ribosomal RNA". The record is from RNAcentral. Lineage: Eukaryota; Viridiplantae; Streptophyta; Magnoliopsida; Poales; Poaceae.